GGCCGACAGGCCCGGGUGAUCUUUGAAACUGCAUCGUGAUGGGGAUAGAUUAUUGCAAUUAUUAAUCUUCAACGAGGAAUGCCUAGUAAGCGCGAGUCAUCAGCUCGCGUUGAUUACGUCCCUGCCCUUUGUACACACCGCCCGUCGCUCCUACCGAUUGGGUGUGCUGGUGAAGCGUUCGGAUUGGCGUUAGUGGGCGGUUUUCCGCCUCCUCUCGCUGAGAAGUUCGUUAAACCCUCCCACCUAGAGGAAGGAGAAGUCGUAACAAGGUUUCCGUAGGUGAACCUGCGGAAGGAUCAUUG
RNAcentral lists this ribosomal RNA (302 nucleotides) under uncultured Trebouxia photobiont. RNAcentral describes it as "partial 18S ribosomal RNA". It matches the Rfam family "Eukaryotic small subunit ribosomal RNA", at positions 1531 to 1831 of the family's 1831-position model. The record is from RNAcentral. Lineage: Eukaryota; Viridiplantae; Chlorophyta; Trebouxiophyceae; Trebouxiales; Trebouxiaceae.